This 1390-nucleotide unclassified non-coding RNA is filed under the name Drosophila pseudoobscura pseudoobscura. Its description in RNAcentral is "GA11609". Lineage: Eukaryota; Metazoa; Arthropoda; Insecta; Diptera; Drosophilidae. The record is from RNAcentral.
GUAGCCGUGUAGAGUUUUUUUCAUAAAGAAAAAAACGCAGGACGCCGCCGCCGCUUGAAAAAAUCGCCAGCCAAAGGAAGGUGAAAAUUUAGCCAAAAGCAGACCCACGGGUGAGCAGCAGUUCGCACCCAAGCCUAACACAGACCUAGCCCCAACUAAUUCCACCUGCACGUGCUACCCGAUCCGCUCGCAGUGCCGCAGAAACGUGUCUGAAGAAGGGGGCCCCUCUGCGCGUCUACAGCAAAACAACAAGAAGAACAAGAACAAGAUGUCUGACAUUUCCAGCGAGGACCUGCGCCGCGAAGUGCAGGCGGUGCUGAAGGACGCCGAUUUGGCCACCAUCUCGGCCAAGCGGGUGCGCGAGCAGGUAGAGGGAAAACUCAAUUGCUCGCUGCUCGGCCGCAAGAAGGAGUUCGACAAGAUUGUCAUGGAGGUGAUAAACGAGCAGCAGGACGAAGAGGAAGAUGACGACGAUGACAAGGAUCCCGAUGCCGAUCCGGACGAUGAGAGCGAGCCAAGCGAGGAGGAGUCUCCCAGCAGCAGCGAGGAGGAGAAGGCCAAGAAGAAGCCGGUACAGAAAAAGCGGCCACAGCCGACCAAGCACAAGGCGCCUAAGAAGAAGCGCAAGACACUUAACGCCGACGACUCGGGCACCGAAAGCGAUGCAGGCUCCGAUUCCGACUACGAGGUGGUCAAGAAGCCGCCCGCGAAGAAGAAGACCAAGGCCGCCGGCGGCGGUAGUUCCGGCACGGGUGCCCCUCGCAAGAGCACCGGCUUCACCCGCGCCUACAAUCUCUCGCCCGAGCUGUCCGCCCUCAUGGGCGCCCCCUCGCUGCCCCGGCACGAGGUGGUAAAGAAAGUCUGGGCCAUCAUCAAGGAGCGGGAUCUGUACGAUCCGAAGAACAAGCAGUUUGCCAUCUGCGACGAGGAGCUGAUGAAGGUCAUGAAGAUCCGCCGAUUCCGCACCUUUGGCAUGCUGAAGCACCUCAAGCCGCAUUUCCUUGACUAAGCGUGAAGAGGAGGAGGAGGAGCACUCUCCACCCAGAUCCCAUCCAGAUGCAAACGUCAUGUCACCGCAAACCUUUCGGCUCUGUUCCAAUCUUUUAAGACUUACUUUUACGCGAUGUAGACAGCGACCAGGACAACCAACGACAGCGAGAACCAGGAAACGAUGGACUCCGACGAUAAUGACGCCCCAUUUGACUCCUUUGGGGAGCCACAGCCACAGUAGCAAUGUGUUUAGCAUUAAAACCUUAAUUAAGACGGAUCUACAGAACAAUUUUUAUGUAGUCUACGGCAUUUUAAUUAUACAUAAAAAAUUAUAUUUAAAAACAACUGCGACUAACAAAACGAAUUGUAACAACAACAACAAUACAUGAUGAAGAAGAAA